UGAGCAAUCUGCCCUUCUCAUCGGAAUAAGCGUUGGAAACGACGUCUAAUGCCGAAUACGACCUCCUUUCGCAUGAUCGGAGGUGGAAAGCUCCGGCGGAGAAGGAUGAGCUCGCGGCCUAUCAGCUUGUUGGUGAGGUAAUGGCUCACCAAGGCGACGACGGGUAGCCGGCCUGAGAGGGUGACCCGGCCACACGUGGGACUGAGACACGGCCCAGACUCCGUAGGGA
This 229-nucleotide ribosomal RNA is filed under the name uncultured bacterium. RNAcentral's name for it is "partial 16S ribosomal RNA". It matches the Rfam family "Bacterial small subunit ribosomal RNA", at positions 118 to 346 of the family's 1533-position model. The record is from RNAcentral.